RNAcentral lists this ribosomal RNA (497 nucleotides) under uncultured bacterium. RNAcentral describes it as "partial 16S ribosomal RNA". It matches the Rfam family "Bacterial small subunit ribosomal RNA", at positions 28 to 507 of the family's 1533-position model. The record is from RNAcentral.
GAUGAACGCUGGCGGCGUGCCUAAUACAUGCAAGUCGAGCGACCGGACGAGAAGCUUGCUCCUCUGAUGUUAGCGGCGGACGGGUGAGUAACACGUGGAUAACCUACCUAUAUGACUGGGAUAACUUCGGGAAACCGGAGCUAAUACCGGAUAAUAUUUUGAACCGCAUGGUUCAAAAGUGAAAGACGGUCUUGCUGUCACUUAUAGAUGGAUCCGCGCUGCAUUAGCUAGUUGGUAAGGUAACGGCUUACCAAGGCAACGAUGCAUAGCCGACCUGAGAGGGUGAUCAGCCACACUGGAACUGAGACACGGUCCAGACUCCUACGGGAGGCAGCAGUAGGGAAUCUUGCGCAAUGGGCGAAAGCCUGACGGAGCAACGCCGCGUGAGUGAUGAAGGUCUUCGGAUCGUAAAACUCUGUUAUUAGGGAAGAACAGAUGUGUAAGUAACUGUGCACGUCUUGACGGUACCUAAUCAGAAAGCCACGGCUAACUACGUG